UGGCCCAUCGUCUAAUGGCAGGACACCCGGUUUUGGUCCGGUCGGUCGGAGUUCGAAUCUCUGUGGGCCAGCCA
This 74-nucleotide transfer RNA is filed under the name Trueperaceae bacterium. RNAcentral's name for it is "tRNA-Gln". It matches the Rfam family "tRNA". Rfam says of the family: Transfer RNA (tRNA) molecules are approximately 80 nucleotides in length. Their secondary structure includes four short double-helical elements and three loops (D, anti-codon, and T loops). The record is from RNAcentral. Lineage: Bacteria; Thermotogati; Deinococcota; Deinococci; Trueperales; Trueperaceae. RNAcentral also lists the same sequence under 2 other names.